UGAGGAAUAUUGGACAAUGGGCGCAAGCCUGAUCCAGCAAUGCCGCGUGCAGGAUGAAGGCCUUCGGGUUGUAAACUGCUUUUGUACGGAACGAAAAGGCUCUGGUUAAUACCUGGGGCUCAUGACGGUACCGUAAGAAUAAGCACCGGCUAACUACGUGCCAGCAGCCGCGGUAAUACGUAGGGUGCAAGCGUUAAUCGGAAUUACUGGGCGUAAAGCGUGCGCAGGCGGUUAUGUAAGACAGAUGUGAAAUCCCCGGGCUCAACCUGGGACCUGCAUUUGUGACUGCAUAGCUAGAGUACGGCAGAGGGGGAUGGAAUUCCGCGUGUAGCAGUGAAAUGCGUAGAUAUGCGGAGGAACACCGAUGGCGAAGGCAGCCUCCUGGGCCAGUACUGACGCUCAUGCACGAAAGCGUGGGGAGCAAACA
RNAcentral lists this ribosomal RNA (427 nucleotides) under uncultured bacterium. RNAcentral describes it as "bacterial SSU rRNA". It matches the Rfam family "Bacterial small subunit ribosomal RNA", at positions 355 to 774 of the family's 1533-position model. The record is from RNAcentral.